RNAcentral lists this long non-coding RNA (401 nucleotides) under Prunus dulcis (almond). RNAcentral describes it as "sRNA ncRNA". Lineage: Eukaryota; Viridiplantae; Streptophyta; Magnoliopsida; Rosales; Rosaceae. The record is from RNAcentral.
CAAAAACUCUCUGUCCUCUCUCCCAUUUCCUGACCAGGUCCUCUGAGCUGCCGACGAAGUCUCUCGGCAGCAACUGCAACAGCCGCGAGUACUGGCUCGUCGGCGGAGCAAUUUCCAACUCGGCGGCGAAGUCGAGAUCCAUGAAGCACCCGAUCUGCCAUGUGGACGAGCUCGAUUGUGCCCUGACGAUGUCCAUGAACUCAUAGCUCUCGGUGGUGAUGUUGCCGGAGGAGCUUUCUUUAUUUCAUUAUGUUGGAUUUGGUGACAACGGUUUAAUGAAUCUGUGUUCCUCGUUUUUCCUUUGGUUUUUUUUUUUCGAUUCUUUUGUGUGGUCUCUUUUUUUGUUGGUUGUGGUUGCAAUAUUUUAAUUUAUAAAAUCAAGUGUUGUGGAUGCCUUAUCC